This 343-nucleotide unclassified non-coding RNA is filed under the name soil metagenome. Its description in RNAcentral is "partial contains 5.8S ribosomal RNA, internal transcribed spacer 2, and large subunit ribosomal RNA". The stretch from base 1 to 120 matches the Rfam family "5.8S ribosomal RNA", at positions 35 to 154 of the family's 154-position model. The record is from RNAcentral.
GAUGAAGAACGUAGCGAAAUGCGAUACGUAAUGUGAAUUGCAGAAUUCAGUGAAUCAUCGAAUCUUUGAACGCACAUUGCGCCCGCCAGCAUUCUGGCGGGCAUGCCUGUUCGAGCGUCAUUUCAACCCUCGACCUCCCUUUGGGGAAGUCGGCGUUGGGGACCGGCAGCACACCGCCGGCCCUGAAAUGGAGUGGCGGCCCGUCCGCGGCGACCUCUGCGUAGUAAUCCAACUCGCACCGGAACCCCGACGCGGCCACGCCGUAAAACACCCAACUUCUGAACGUUGACCUCGAAUCAGGUAGGACUACCCGCUGAACUUAAGCAUAUCAAUAAGCGGAGGA